GUAGGUGGCAAGCGUUGUCCGGAUUUAUUGGGCGUAAAGGGCGCGCAGGCGGUUCGUUAAGUCCGAGGUGAAAUCUCCCGGCUCAACUGGGAGAGGUCUUCGGAUACUGGCGGACUGGAGGUGAGCAGAGGUGAGUGGAAUUCUCGGUGUAGUGGUGAAAUGCGUAGAUAUCGAGAGGAACACCAGUGGCGAAGGCGGCUCACUGGGCUCUACCUGACGCUGAGGCGCGAAAGCGUGGGGAGCGAACCGGAUUAGAUACCCGGGUAGUCCACGCUGUAAACGAUGGACACUAGGUGUGGGGGGUAUUGACCCCUUCCGUGCCGAAGCCAACGCAAUAAGUGUCCCGCCUGGGGAGUACGGCCGCAAGGCUA
Molecule: ribosomal RNA, 371 nt
Filed under: uncultured bacterium
Lineage: Bacteria
Description: bacterial SSU rRNA
Rfam family: Bacterial small subunit ribosomal RNA
Source: RNAcentral